This 378-nucleotide ribosomal RNA is filed under the name uncultured bacterium. Its description in RNAcentral is "bacterial SSU rRNA". It matches the Rfam family "Bacterial small subunit ribosomal RNA", at positions 30 to 390 of the family's 1533-position model. The record is from RNAcentral.
AGUGAACGCUGGCGGCAGGCCUAACACAUGCAAGUCGAGCGGCAGCGGGUCCCCGCGAGGGGAUGCCGGCGAGCGGCGGACGGGUGAGGAACACAUCGGAAUCUGCCUGGUUGUGGGGGAUAACGUAGGGAAACUUACGCUAAUACCGCAUGCGACCCUGAGUCGACGGACUGGGGGUGAAAGUGAGGGACCUUCGGGCCGUCACGCGACCAGAUGAGCCGAUGUCGGAUUAGCUAGUUGGCGGGGUAACGGCCCGCCAAGGCGACGAUCCGUAGCUGGUCUGAGAGGAUGAUCAGCCACACUGGGACUGAGACACGGCCCAGACUCCUACGGGAGGCAGCAGUGGGAAUCUUGGACAAUGGGCGCAAGCCUGAUCCC